GGGGAAUUUUGGACAAUGGGCGCAAGCCUGAUCCAGCAAUGCCGCGUGCAGGAGAAGGCCUUCGGGUUGUAAACUGCUUUUGUACGGAACGAAAAGGCUCCUUCUAAUACAGGGGGCUAAUGACGGUACCGUAAGAAUAAGCACCGGCUAACUACGUGCCAGCAGCCGCGGUAAUACGUAGGGUGCGAGCGUUAAUCGGAAUUACUGGGCGUAAAGCGUGCGCAGGCGGUCUUGUAAGACAGAUGUGAAAUCCCCGGGCUUAACCUGGGACCUGCAUUUGUGACUGCGAGGCUGGAGUGUGGCAGAGGGGGAUGGAAUUCCGCGUGUAGCAGUGAAAUGCGUAGAUAUGCGGAGGAACACCGAUGGCGAAGGUAAUCCCCUGGGCCUGCACUGACGCUCAUGCACGAAAGCGUGGGGAGCAAAC
RNAcentral lists this ribosomal RNA (424 nucleotides) under uncultured bacterium. RNAcentral describes it as "bacterial SSU rRNA". It matches the Rfam family "Bacterial small subunit ribosomal RNA", at positions 356 to 773 of the family's 1533-position model. The record is from RNAcentral.